RNAcentral lists this ribosomal RNA (488 nucleotides) under uncultured bacterium. Its description in RNAcentral is "bacterial SSU rRNA". It matches the Rfam family "Bacterial small subunit ribosomal RNA", at positions 21 to 507 of the family's 1533-position model. The record is from RNAcentral.
GGCUCAGAUUGAACGCUGGCGGCAUGCUUUACACAUGCAAGUCGAACGGUAACAGGCCUUCGGGCGCUGACGAGUGGCGAACGGGUGAGUAAUGCAUCGGAACGUGCCCAGUAGCGGGGGAUAACUACUCGAAAGAGUAGCUAAUACCGCAUACGCCCUACGGGGAAAGGGGGGGAUCGCAAGACCUUGCGCUAUACGAGCGGCCGAUGUCAGAUUAGCUAGUUGGUAGGGUAAAGGCCUACCAAGGCGACGAUCUGUAGCGGGUCUGAGAGGAUGAUCCGCCACACUGGGACUGAGACACGGCCCAGACUCCUACGGGAGGCAGCAGUGGGGAAUUUUGGACAAUGGGCGAAAGCCUGAUCCAGCCAUGCCGCGUGAGUGAAGAAGGCCUUCGGGUUGUAAAGCUCUUUCGGCUGGGAAGAAAUCGCACAGGCUAAUACUCUGUGUGGAUGACGGUACCAGCACAAGAAGCACCGGCUAACUACGUG